UGGGGAAUUUUGCACAAUGGGGGAAACCCUGAUGCAGCGACGCCGCGUGAUUUAGAAGGCCUUCGGGUUGUAAAAAUCUUUUCUAUGGGAAGAAAAUGACAGUACCAUAGGAAUAAGGACCGGCUAAUUACGUGCCAGCAGCCGCGGUAAUACGUAAGGUCCGAGCGAUGUCCGGAAUCAUUGGGCGUAAAGGGUACGUAGGCGGGUAAGCAAGUUAGAAGUGAAAUCCUAUAGCUCAACUAUAGUAAGCUUUUAAAACUGCUCAUCUUGAGGUAUGGAAGGGAAAGUGGAAUUCCUAGUGUGGCGGUGAAAUGCGCAGAUAUUAGGAGGAAUACCGGUGGCGAAGGCGACUUUCUGGCCAUAACCUGACGCUGAGGUACGAAAGCGUGGGUAGCAAACAGG
RNAcentral lists this ribosomal RNA (402 nucleotides) under bacterium. RNAcentral's name for it is "partial 16S ribosomal RNA". It matches the Rfam family "Bacterial small subunit ribosomal RNA", at positions 355 to 776 of the family's 1533-position model. The record is from RNAcentral.